AGUGAACGCUGGCGGUAGGCCUAACACAUGCAAGUCGAACGGCAGCACAGUAAGAGCUUGCUCUUACGGGUGGCGAGUGGCGGACGGGUGAGGAAUACAUCGGAAUCUACUUUUUCGUGGGGAAUAACGUAGGGAAACUUACGCUAAUACCGCAUACGACCUACGGGUGAAAGCAGGGGAUCUUCGGACCUUGCGCGAUUGAAUGAGCCGAUGUCGGAUUAGCUAGUUGGCGGGGUAAAGGCCCACCAAGGCGACGAUCCGUAGCUGGUCUGAGGGGAUGAUCAGCCACACUGGAACUGAGACACGGUCCAGACUCCUACGGGAGGCAGCAGUGGGGAAUAUUGGACAAUGGGCGCAAGCCUGAUCCAGCCAUACCGCGUGGGUGAAGAAGGCCUUCGGGUUGUAAAGCCCUUUUGUUGGGAAAGAAAAGCAGCAGGUUAAUACCCCGCUGUUCUGACGGUACCCAAAGAAUAAGCACCGGCUAACUUCGUG
Molecule: ribosomal RNA, 492 nt
Filed under: uncultured bacterium
Lineage: Bacteria
Description: partial 16S ribosomal RNA
Rfam family: Bacterial small subunit ribosomal RNA
Source: RNAcentral